RNAcentral lists this long non-coding RNA (3544 nucleotides) under Gallus gallus (chicken). Its description in RNAcentral is "lncRNA (ENSGALG00010004531.1)". Lineage: Eukaryota; Metazoa; Chordata; Aves; Galliformes; Phasianidae. The record is from RNAcentral.
GAAAAAAAUAAUAGAAAGAAAUUAGGAUGAGGGAAAGCGCAUGUGGCACUUCCUCUAUCUUCUGCUGGCGCUCCUGUCCUCCGCAGGUGCUCGCUGUCCUCCAAUGGCACUCCACUUCUAUCCUCUGACAGCGCGCUAGUAACCUCCGCAGGUGUGCUUCCUCUAAUCUCCGCCGGCGCGUUGCAUCUAUACUCCGAUGGCGCUCCCGUCCGCCGCAGGUGCUCCCUGUUCUCUGCAGAUGCUCCCGUCCUCUGCAGGCGCUCGCUGUCCUCUGCUGGUGCUCCACAUCUAUCCUCCAAUGGCACACAACCUGUAACCUCCGCCAGGGUGCUACCUCUUAUCCUCUGCUGGCGCGCUACCUCUAUCUUCUGACGGUGCUCUGUCCUCGGCAGGCGCUCCCUAUUCUCCGCAGGUGCUCCCGUCCUCUACAGGUGCUUGCCGCCCUCAGCAGGUGCUCCACCUCUGUCUUCUGGAAGCGCGCUAUCUCUAAACUCCACUGACGCGCUACCUCUAUCGUCUGACGGUGCUCCCAUUCUCUGCAGACGUUCCCUGUUCUCCGCAGGUGCUCCCAUCCUCCGCAGAUGCUCCAUCACUAUCAUCCAAUGGCGCGCUACCUCUAUCUUCUGACAGUGCUCCUGUCAUCCGCCGGCACUCCCUGUUCUCCUCAGCUACUCCCAUCCUCCGCAAAUGCUCCACAUCUAUCCUCCGACGGCGCACUAUCUGUAACCUCCACCAGUGUCCUACCUCCUAUCUUCUGCUGGCGCUCUACCUCUAUCCACUGGCGGCACACUACGUCUAUCCGUUGCUGGUGUGUUACCACUAAACUCAGCCAGCGAGAUACCUCUAUCUUCUAACGGCGCUCCAGUCCUCCGCAGGUGCUUCCUGUUUUCCUCAGGUGCUCUCGUCCUCUGCAGGCACUCGCUGUCCUCCACAGGCACUCCACCUCUAUCAUCUGACAGAACACUACAUCCAACCUCGGCCGGUGCACUACAUCCAUCCUCCAAUGGCAAGCUACCUCUAACCUCCGCUGGCGUGCUACCUCAAUCUUCUGACGGUGCUCCCAUCCCCCACAGGUGCCGCACCUCUUUCCUCUGCUGGCGCACUUCCUCAAUCCUCUGCCGGUGCACUACCUCUACACUCUGAUGAUGUUCCCAUACUGUGCAGGCAAUCCCUGUUCUCCACAGGUGCUCCUGUCCUCUACAGGCGCUCACCGUCCUCUGGAGGCAAUCCACCUCAAUCUUCUGAAGGCAUGCUAUUGCAAAACCCAGCCAGCGAAUUACUUCUAUUUUCUUACGGUGCUCCCAUCGUCCGCAGGCGCUCCCUGUUCUACGCAGGUGCUCCCAUCCUCCGUAGAAACUCCACCUCUAUCAUCGGAUGGCGAAACAGAACCUCCACCUUGAUGCUCCGACAGCGCACUACCGGUAACCUCCGCCUGUGCACUAUCUUCUACCUCUAUCUUCCGAUCGCGCUCCUGUCAUUUGCAGGCACACCUUGUUCUCUGCAGGUGCUCCCGUACUCCGUAGAAACUCCACCUCUAUCAUCGGAUGGCGCACUACAUCUAACCUCUGCCAGCAAACAAACUCUGUUUUCUGACGGUGAUCCCAUCCUCUGCAAUCACUCCCUGUUCUCCACAGGUGCUCCUUUCAACCACUGACAUUCUACCUCUAUCCACGAACAGCACACUACCUCUAACCUCCGAUAGCGCGCUAACUCUUAUCCUCUGCCAGGAUGCUACUGCUAACCUCCGACGGCGCACGACCUCUAUCUUCAGAUGGUGCUCCCGUCAUCUGCAGGUGCUCCCUGUUUUCCGCAGGUGCUCCUGUCCUCGGCAGAUGCUCCACCUCUAUCCCGUGAUGGCACACUACAUAUAACCUCUGCCGGCGCACUAAUUCUGUCUUCUGACGGCGCUCCUGUCCUCCACAGUCACUCCCUGUUCACCACAGGUGCUCCCAUCCUCCGCAGACCCUCAACGUCGAUCCAGUGACAGAGCACUACCUCUAACCUCUGCCAGCAUGCUACCUCUUUCUUCUGACAGCGCACCCAUCAUCUGCAGGCGCUCCUUGUUCUCCACAGGUGCUCCUGUCCUCUGCAGAUGCUCCACCUUUAUCCUCUGAUGAUGCACUACAUCUAACCUCUGCCGGCGCACUAACUAUGCCUUCUGACAGUGCUCCCGUCCUCCAGAGGUGCUCCCUGUUCUCCGCAGGUGCUACGAUCCUCCGCAGACCCUCCACCUCGAUCCUCUGAUGGCACACUACCUCUAACCUCUGCCGGCGCACUACCUCUAUCUUCUAACCACGCUCCCAUCAUCUGCAAGCAGUCUCUGUUCUCCGCAGAUGCUCUCGUCCUCCGCAAACGCUCCAACUCGAUCCUCUGAUGAUGCACUACAUGUAACCUCUGCCGGCGCACUAACUCUGUCUUCUGAUGGUGCUCCUGUCCUUGGCAAUCGCUUCCUGUUCUCCGCAGGUGCUCCCAUCCUCCGCAGAAGUUCCAGCUCUAUCCUCUGAGAGUGCACUACCUCUAUCCUCUGCCGGGGCACUAACUAUGCAUUCUGACAGUGCUGCCAUCAUCUACAGAUGUUCUGUGUUCUCUGCAGGUAACCCCAUCAACCACAGGUGCUUUACAUCUAUCCUCUGAAGGCACACUACAUCUAACCUCUGCCGGCGCACUAACUAUGCCUGCUGACAGCACUCCUGUCCUCCGCAGGUGCUCCCUGUUCUCAUGAGGUACUCCGAUCCUCCGCAGACACUCCACCUUGAUCCUCUGAUGGCACACUACCUCUAACCUCUGCUGGCACAAUACCUAUAUCUUCUAACCACGCUCCCAUCAUCUGUAAGCAGUCUCUGUUCUCCACAGAUGGUCUUGUCCUCCGCAGACGCUCCAACUCGAUCCUCUGAUGAUGCACUACAUCUAACCUCUGCCGGCGCACUAUGUCUUCUGACAGCGCUCCUGUCCUCCGCAGGUGCUCCCUGUUCGCUGCAGGUGCUCCCAUCCUUCGCAGACCCUCCACCUUGAUCCUCUGAUGGCACACUACCUCUAACCUCUGCUGGCACACUACCUCUAUCUCCUAACCACGCUCCCAUCAUCUGCAAGUGGUCUCUGUUCUCCGCAGAUGCUCUUGUCCUCCGCAGAUGCUCCAACUCGAUCCUCUGAUGAUGCACUACCUCCAAACUCUGCCGGCGCACUACCUCUAUCUUCUGACAACGCUCCCAUCAUCUGCCGGCGCUCUGUGCUCUCUGCAGUUGCUCCCGUCCUCCGCAGAUGCUCCAUCUAUAUCCUCUGAAGGCACACUACAUCUAACCUCUGCCGGCGCACUAACUAUGUCUUCUGACAGCACUCCUGUCCUCCGCAGGUGCUCCCUGUUCUCCUCAGGUACAUCGAUCCUCCCCAGACGCUCCACCUCGAUCCUCUGAUGGCACACUACCUCUAACCUCUGCCGGCGCACUACCUCUAUCUUCUGACAACGCUCCCAUCAUCUGCCGGCGCUCUGUGCUCUCUGCAGUUGCUCCCGUCCUCCGCAGAUGCUCCAUCUAUAUCCUCUGAAGGC